This 24-nucleotide non-coding RNA is filed under the name Arabidopsis thaliana (thale cress). Lineage: Eukaryota; Viridiplantae; Streptophyta; Magnoliopsida; Brassicales; Brassicaceae. The record is from RNAcentral.
UAGAGAGGUAUUAAUUUAUCGAUA